This 333-nucleotide long non-coding RNA is filed under the name Eucalyptus grandis. RNAcentral describes it as "long non-coding RNA (EGRA_LNC006054)". Lineage: Eukaryota; Viridiplantae; Streptophyta; Magnoliopsida; Myrtales; Myrtaceae. The record is from RNAcentral.
GGCAUAUAGAACUCAUGAUUCUGAAGCAUUUGAAGGAGAUGUGCAUAAGAAAACAAAAACUGGGAAGCGCCUUUUUCUUCUUUGACCCUCAGUUAUCUGGUUGUAUCAUGUUAAUAUUAAAGCACCUGAUCUGUCGGGUUGCAUACACCUAUAGGAAUAUAUAGCCUCGAAGUGUAGUUUGUCAUACACCUAUAGGAAUAUAUAGCCUCGAAGUGUAGUUUGUUCUCAUCUUGCAUUGCUUUGUGAGAAAAUGAUCUUGUGUAUACACGCUGUAUCGCUCUGCAUGUGAAAGAGCUUUUUCAGAUAUGGUGAAAAUUGUUCUUUCCCAUAGAA